CUCAGGAACUUUGGAGAGAUUUCUGGAUUGGUAACAAAUUGCUCCAAGAGCUUGGUAGCCCCAAUUAGAUGUGAAAAUACGAAUAUUCUGGAUAUUCUGCAAUCUUUCCCGGCCCAACGAACCACCUUCCCGAUGAAGUACCUUGGCUUACCUCUGUUAGUGAAGCGCCUGAAAAGAAUUCACUUUCUGCCUCUCAAGGACAAGAUCGCGGCCCAACUCACUACUUGGAUGGGAAAGCAGGUUGCCGCCCCUGGAAGGAUGGUUCUUGUUAAGUAUGUCAUCACUGCCAUCGCCAUCUAUUAUACGACGGCCCUAAAUCUUUCGGUGGAAGUUUUGAAAAAGAUUGAUGCUCUUCGACGUGCCUAUCUUUGGGCUGGUUGUGACAAGGUCACGGGAGGGAAAUAUAAGGUCAAGUGGGAGCAAGUUUGCAAGUCCAAGCUGCAUGGCGGUCUUGGGAUACUAAAUCAUGAAAAGUUUGCAUCUGCACUUCGUCUCCGUUGGCUGUGGCUCAACUAG
RNAcentral lists this ribosomal RNA (516 nucleotides) under Triticum aestivum (bread wheat). Its description in RNAcentral is "partial small subunit ribosomal RNA". The record is from RNAcentral. Lineage: Eukaryota; Viridiplantae; Streptophyta; Magnoliopsida; Poales; Poaceae.